This 495-nucleotide ribosomal RNA is filed under the name uncultured bacterium. Its description in RNAcentral is "partial 16S ribosomal RNA". It matches the Rfam family "Bacterial small subunit ribosomal RNA", at positions 28 to 507 of the family's 1533-position model. The record is from RNAcentral.
GACGAACGCUGGCGGCGUGCCUAAUACAUGCAAGUAGAACGCUGAAGGAGGAGCUUGCUUCUCCGGAUGAGUUGCGAACGGGUGAGUAACGCGUAGGUAACCUGCCUGGUAGCGGGGGAUAACUAUUGGAAACGAUAGCUAAUACCGCAUAAGAGUAGAUGUCGCAUGACAUUUGCUUAAAAGGUGCAACUGCACCACUACCAGAUGGACCUGCGUUGUAUUAGCUAGUUGGUGAGGUAACGGCUCACCAAGGCAACGAUACAUAGCCGACCUGAGAGGGUGAUCGGCCACACUGGGACUGAGACACGGCCCAGACUCCUACGGGAGGCAGCAGUAGGGAAUCUUCGGCAAUGGACGGAAGUCUGACCGAGCAACGCCGCGUGAGUGAAGAAGGUUUUCGGAUCGUAAAGCUCUGUUGUAAGAGAAGAACGAGUGUGAGGGUGGAAAGUUCACACUGUGACGGUAUCUUACCAGAAAGGGACGGCUAACUACGUG